Molecule: long non-coding RNA, 792 nt
Organism: Ornithodoros turicata
Lineage: Eukaryota; Metazoa; Arthropoda; Arachnida; Ixodida; Argasidae
Exons: 2
Source: RefSeq, a predicted model, not a curated record
UUAGCCGUUGUUGGAGUUACAUGUUAGGAUGUUUUGUUCUUUUGCAAGUCUCAUUUAGUAAGACUUUGGAAUUCCUUCGAUCAGCUUUCAUGCAUGGUGCUCUUCUGCAAUAGUUUCCUAUGCAAUCGUUAUAGAAGAAUAAAGGAAAUAAUCUUGGGAUAGUGAUACAAUAAAUAUUAGGUCCCCUGUCUAGAGCGCACGCGUCCUUGAGCCACGCAGGUGCAUGAUGACGUCAUACCAUGGCUUCACUGCAGAUUGACCAAAGGAGCAUUAGUGGAAAAAAAACAGUGUAGCCCUGAGACAAUAGGAUGAUGUCUGGACCAAUGAGAACUGCCAGCAGGGGGCGCAGGAAUGCUCUUCUCACUUAGCCUCACGACCAAUGAGCAACGAGAGAAGAGGGCGCAGGAAUGCUCUUCUCUCUUAGCCUCUCGCAGGUGGCGGCAGGAGCGCGCAGAGGGCGCUACGAGCGCGCGCAUGCGUAGCACCCGUAGAGUGGCGCUUACGUCAGUCCACCUCUGGCUCUCGUUGGGAGAAGACGUGUGGUCGUUCGCUCCGUCGACACUUGAUCCCUGGCUGUCGACGAGAGCAGUCGCAUCGGUCUGCGCUCCUACUGUGAGCUGUCCUAACCUGCCCAGACAUGCCAUGAUGACGUCACAGCUGACGUCACAGGAUGUGCGGAACUGGUGCUGCGAUGCUUUGCAACCUGCCUCAGUGCUCCGUCGCCCAGCGGCCUUUCCGGGCCGCUUUCUUCAAGAUGAUGUCGUUGAUCUUCAACUAAACUCCUUCUCUCCA